This 438-nucleotide ribosomal RNA is filed under the name uncultured Schwartzia sp. RNAcentral describes it as "partial 16S ribosomal RNA". Lineage: Bacteria; Bacillati; Bacillota; Negativicutes; Selenomonadales; Selenomonadaceae. The record is from RNAcentral.
CACGUAGUUAGCCGUGGCUUCCUCGUCAGGUACCGUCUUAGUAGACGCAUUUCCUCGUCUACUCUUUCGUCCCCGACAACAGAGCUUUACGAUCCGAAGACCUUCUUCACUCACGCGGCGUUGCUCCGUCAGGCUUUCGCCCCAUUGCGGAAGAUUCCCCACUGCUGCCUCCCGUAGGAGUAUGGGCCGUGUCUCAGUCCCAUUGUGGCCGUUCAUCCUCUCAGACCGGCUACUGAUCGUCGCUUUGGUGAGCCGUUACCUCACCAACUGGCUAAUCAGACGCAGGCCCAUCCUCAGGCGAUGGUUUGACCCAGUCUUUAGUAUCUCUUCCAUGUAGAAAAAGUUCCUCAUUCGGUAUUAGCGGCUCGUUUCGACGUCCGUUGUCCCCCUAUUCCCUGGACGGGCUAGGUUCGCCUACGGUCGUUAACUCACCCGUUU